Molecule: ribosomal RNA, 1439 nt
Filed under: uncultured bacterium
Lineage: Bacteria
Description: bacterial SSU rRNA
Rfam family: Bacterial small subunit ribosomal RNA
Source: RNAcentral
AGAGUUUGAUCUUGGCUCAGGAUGAACGCUGGCGGCGUGCCUGAUACAUGCAAGUCGAACGCAUCGGCAGACGGCGGAAGGGAUGGAAGGCCUAGCGGGCGAGAAAUCGUUCAAAGGGCGGGAAAUUCUGGAGGCCGUGAAGCUGGUGAGUGGCGGACGGGUGAGUAACACGUAGGUAAUCUGCCUCAAAGUGGGGGAUAACUGCUCGAAAGGGCAGCUAAUACCGCAUGUGGUCUGUGCCGGUGGGUGCAGAAGAAAGGCCUUCGGGUCGCUUUGAGAUGAGCCUGCGGCCGAUUAGCUAGUUGGUAGGGUAAAGGCCUACCAAGGCGACGAUCGGUAGCUGGUCUGAGAGGAUGAUCAGCCACACUGGGAUUGAGAACGGCCCAGACUCCUACGGGAGGCAGCAGUAAGGAAUAUUGCACAAUGGGGGAAACCCUGAUGCAGCAACGCCGCGUGGGUGAAGAAGGCCUUCGGGUCGUAAAACCCUUUACUGGGGGAUGAGGAAGGACAGUACCCCAGCAAAAAGUCUCGGCUAACUACGUGCCAGCAGCCGCGGUAAGACGUAGGAGGCGAGCGUUAUCCGGAUUCACUGGGCGUAAAGGGCAAGUAGGCGGCGGAUCAAGUUGGGCGUGACAGUUCUCGGCUUAACUGAGAGAGUGCGCACAAAACUGAUCGGCUAGAGGGCAGGAGAGGGAAGUGGAACUCCCAAAGUAGCGGUGGAAUGCUCAGAUAUUGGGAAGAACACCAGUGGCGAAGGCGGCUUCCUGGCCUGCACCUGACGCUGAGAGGCGAAAGCUAGGGGAGCGAACGGGCUUAGAUACCCCGGUAGUCCUAGCUGUAAACGGUGGAUACUAGGUAUUGGCGGUCAAGGCCGUCAGUGCCGAAGCCAACGCGUUAAGUAUCCCGCCUGGGGACUACGACCGCAAGGUUAAAACUCAAAGGAAUUGACGGGGACCCGCACAAGCAGCGGAGCGUGUGGUUUAAUUCGAUGCUACACGAAGAACCUUACCUGGGCUUGACAUGCACGUAGUAGGGAACCGAAAGGGGACCGACCCUUCGGGGAGCGUGCACAGGUGCUGCAUGGCUGUCGUCAGCUCGUGCCGUGAGGUGUUCGGUUAAGUCCGACAACGAGCGCAACCCUCGUCGCUAGUUAUACUUUACUAGCGAGACUGCCGGCAUAUAACCGGAGGAAGGUGGGGAUGAUGUCAAGUCAGUAUGGCCUUUAUGUCCAGGGCUACACACACGCUACAAUGGCCGGUACAGAGGGUAGCGAAGCCGCGAGGCGGAGCCAAUCCCAAAAAGCCGGUCUCAGUUCAGAUUGCAGGCUGCAACCCGCCUGCAUGAAGUCGGAGUUGCUAGUAACCGCAGGUCAGCCAUACUGCGGUGAAUACGUUCCCGGGUCUUGUACACACCGCCCGUCACGUCAUGGGAACUGGCAA